RNAcentral lists this ribosomal RNA (655 nucleotides) under uncultured bacterium. RNAcentral describes it as "bacterial SSU rRNA". It matches the Rfam family "Bacterial small subunit ribosomal RNA", at positions 232 to 885 of the family's 1533-position model. The record is from RNAcentral.
CGCGGCCUAUCAGCUUGUUGGUGAGGUAAUGGCUCACCAAGGCUUCGACGGGUAGCCGGCCUGAGAGGGCGACCGGCCACACUGGGACUGAGAUACGGCCCAGACUCCUACGGGAGGCAGCAGUGGGGAAUAUUGCACAAUGGGCGAAAGCCUGACGCAGCGACGCCGCGUGGAGGAUGAGGCCCUUCGGGGUGUAAACUCCUGUUGCCCGGGACGAAUGGCGGACAUGGGUCCGUGUGACGGUACUGGGUGAGGAAGCACCGGCUAACUCUGUGCCAGCAGCCGCGGUAAUACAGAGGGUGCGAGCGUUGUCCGGAAUCACUGGGCGUAAAGGGCGCGUAGGCGGCCGAGUAAGUCGUGUGUGAAAGACCGGGGCUCAACUCCGUGUACUGCAUGCGAUACUGCCCGGCUAGAGAAAGGUAGAGGCGAGUGGAAUUCCCGGUGUAGCGGUGGAAUGCGUAGAUAUCGGGAAGAACACCUGUGGCGAAGGCGGCUCGCUGGGCCUUUUCUGACGCUGAAGUGCGAAAGCGUGGGGAGCAAACAGGAUUAGAUACCCUGGUAGUCCACGCCGUAAACGAUGGGCACUAGGCGUUGGGAGGAUUGACCCUCUCAGUGCCGUAGCUAACGCGUUAAGUGCCCCGCCUGGGGAGUACGG